UACGGGGGGGGUAAGCGUUGUUCGGAAUUACUGGGCGUAAAGGGCUCGUAGGCGGCCAACUAAGUCAGACGUGAAAUCCCUCAGCUUAACUGGGGAACUGCGUCUGAUACUGGAUGGCUUGGAUUCGGGAGAGGAAUGCGGAAUUCCAGGUGUAGCGGUGAAAUGCGUAGAUAUCUGGAGGAACACCGGUGGCGAAGGCGGCAUUCUGGACCGACAUUGACGCUGAGGAGCGAAAGCUAGGGGAGCAAACGGG
RNAcentral lists this ribosomal RNA (253 nucleotides) under uncultured bacterium. RNAcentral's name for it is "partial 16S ribosomal RNA". It matches the Rfam family "Bacterial small subunit ribosomal RNA", at positions 524 to 776 of the family's 1533-position model. The record is from RNAcentral.